GCUCCACGUUCAUUCUUAGGGGUCAUCAGGCUUGUGGAAAAGAUAAAACCAGGCCCUUACUCUGCCGAGCUCGCCUUGUGCACCGGGGGGACUGUAUCUUCCCAGCACCGCGGCAGCGUGUCUCUCCCUAACUGCCCAGUAUGGUUGAUGAGCCGAAGGGCCUGAGCACUCAUGGGCAUUCUGACAGGCGUCCUGGGGUGGGUCUCAGCCUCUGGGGGGAGAACUGGUCGCCUCAGAUUCAUGAACUUGCAUCAAGAGGUGUGGAGGGAAGAGUGACUUGUUGGCCCCACCUGCACUUGACGAGGCAGCAGUGCUGAGUGUCAGACUACAGACAGUACUCGAGCAGGACAUCUUCACCCCCUGACCGUAGUCCCCUGCAGCCCAUGGGGCGGUAGCUGGACCCCAUCAGACUUGGCUCACCUCAUAUCUGUCCCCUGUUGUGCCUCAGACACCACCCACUCACUCGUCCCCACGUCCGUGUUCCCGCGCAUGUUUUUCCCUGGCCCGGAAUUGCCCGUUUCCCUCAAGCAUGUGCGGGGGCCUCAGCUAGCCGCCUUCCUCCUCAGGCGGUCGCCGGUGAGAGGCCGGCCUGUGAUGGUGCCGAGCUUCUGGAGCUCCACGCCCGAGGCUCUGCGUCACACCCAAGGAGCCUCCAUCCCUCGGCUGUUAGGGACGUGCUCGCUGCAGUACCAGAACAUCAUUCGUUCAUUCCGGGAAUGCGUCCCUUGUGUUUUUCUGAGCAUUUACUGUGCAUAAAACACCCUGCCAAGUGCUUAAAUGACAGCAUAUUUAAUUGAAGCCUUGCAGUGAACCAGUGGGGUAGACAUUUUGUGGCUGAAGGUCCCUUUUUACGGGUAAGGAAACUGCAGGGCCGAUUCGCCCAAGGAUUGUCCGUGUAGGACACAGAGCUGGCAUUGGAAUGCUGACGGCCCGCUCCAAAGCUCGGAAGCACACACUGGGCAGCUCCCUGCGGGGGCAGGCAGGGCUUUGACCUGGAAAGAAGAGCGACUGUCCACAGGGGACAGAGCAGUGAUAAGAAGUGAGGAGUAGUGGGUGGGAAAGGGCUAGUGGUACCAUGAUGACCUAGAGGGGAAGGUUCCAGUUAGGGGAGGUAGACUCGACCAAGGAGAGGGGUGUGGGAGGAAAGCAUCCCAGAAAUAAAAACAGUCCUAGAAGAGGGAAAGGUCAGAGCAUGUUUGAGAAAGAGCAGGAAUAAAAUUUGAUCAGCGUGGAAAGGGGAGUUGGGAUUGUGAAGGAUCCCUGGAUGCCAGGUAGGAGAUGAGGAUUUUCAUCUGUAGGCAGUGGGAGUCUGAGGACUUUUGAGCAGGGAGUGGUGUGCUGACUUCUGAGCUCUUAAGAACCUCGUAGAGCAGUGUGGAGCAGAGAUUCCGUAGGAGGAGGGACCAGAGACAGGCAUACCAAUAAUGCUGCAGGCUAGAGGAGAGAAAGCAAUGGCCACGGCAUUGCAAGGUGCUGACAGGAGGAAAAGAGGGGAGUGGAUGGAUGGUGGUGGGACCAGAGAGAGGGAGGCAGGAAGGAGUCAUCGGAGAGGCAGUUUGUAGGUCUGGAGAUGCGGGGCAUGGCCCUAGGGCUGGGCAGGAUGGAUUUGGAAAGUGUUCCUCGUGAGGUCUGGGGUUUGUGUGUUCACUCAUCUCUUCGCUCUUUCUACCACUUUCUGUUGCAUACCGGCGCCCUUGUCCCUGUGUUCUGUAAAGAGGUGGGGCCUGGAGAUGUAAACUUGCUGGCCAGCAAAGCAUUCACAAGUAACUUAGGUGUGGACGUGACGAAGUGGAGCCCAGGGGGGUACGGGGGGGCACAGGCUUCGAGGUUACUGAGGAAGACAUGGCAGGGCAGGAGCAGGGAAGGCAGUUCCUGGAGACCCACGGGCACUGGGCUCAGAGAGGGAGCGGGGAGCCGGAAUGAGUUACUGAAGUCGGGGAAGGGAGAAGGGGAAGCGUGGAUCAUGGUCCCAACCGGCCACACACACACAGGAGGGCAGAGGCAGAGGCCGAGAGGGACCUUGGCUCUUGCAUCCCAGAACACACUUAUGACCUGUGGAAAUGCAGGGUCAGGAGGGCCAAACUGUAGGACCGGAGGGGUCAGGAUGGGGGCCACACAUGUAGGCCUCUGCCAGGACAGUGACCCUUACACUGCAAGAUCAUGGGGUGCCUUUACUUGGAUUUUUUUUUUUUUCUUCCGGAAGAGCCCUGUGAAGUAGGCCUGGCUGUUAUUAAGACCUCUUUAUUACAGAGAAGGAAACUCGGUUUCUGAGGGUCAGAAGGCUUCAGUGCCACCUCAGUGUCGGGCAGAGUCAGUGACACAGUGCUCGGUGUUAGGCAAGGAAGGACUCCCUUCCUUGGAGGGACGGCUGGGCCGUUCUGUUAGCCCACUUUGUGAUCAGUGCCCACUGUGGAGUCUUCCCAUCGCAGCCCGCUGAGCUGGCUGGCUGUCAGGUCUCCCUCCCGUCCCUGGCAGCAUACCCACCUUGAUGUCCCAAAGACUGCCAAAUGUCUUGCCUUGGGAAGGCAGUGACGCUGUCGUAGGCCCCGGACCAGCCACAACCCUUGGUUUUACACACAGCACAAGCACUUCUAAAGCAGAAAAGGAGUUCCUCAAAGGAAAUCGGGGGGCUCACAGUUGCACCAAAAAGCUUAAGAAUCAGUCGGAGAAGAAGGGCAGGAAUGACAGGAAGCUGGGCGGCCACCCCUUCUGUGGAAGGUGUGCCCUGGUGCCGCCACCAGCGUGGCAGAGUGGUUCCCCCACAGCCCUGCUGCCCUGCCCCACCAGACUCCGGCGGAAGCACUCAUCCGGCUGGCCUGGGUCACUGUCCACUCUGUCGCUGACACAGAAUGGAGCAGGGGGGGGGUCUCUCGCCUUCCCCCUUCUGUAGUGGCCGUCAUGAGAAAGGGGAUUCUGGGGGUCCAGGAAAAUAAUAUGUUCCCAGCACCUGGCCCCUUUUUCCUGGCCUCUGUAUUGUUUUCACAUGAUACUGAGUCUCAGCCAAGACACUCAGUGUGGCAGCUGUCCACUCUGUAAACCUGCAGGUGGUCUGGACCGAGCCCGGAACCUGGCUUCAGGCAGCCAGAGAUGAACAUGGGAGUUCACUGUCAGAUGGACGGGGGCAAUAAUCUGCAUAGACUGUCCUUUGUACCACAGGGGUGAACUGGGAAGCACUUCCCAGCAGUGAUGACAUGGUUGAGCCCGUGUCUGGGACAGAGGGAGGGGUCAGCCCAAGGACAGGAAGAGCAUUCCUGGAGGGACGAGCUGCACGCACAAAGCCAUCGAGACAGGCGAGGCUGAGUCAGACCAGCUUGGAUUUCAUCCUGUAAGCAGAGGAGGGCCGGGGAGUCUUUCCUUAAAUAGGUAAAUGAAAAGGGGUCCCUUCCAGUAAAGAUAGUCAUGGUGAUGGUGUGGAGAAAAGAGGCAAAGAGACUGGAUUCGGAGAUACUUCGGUAUAAUCAGUCCUGGGAAGCAGCUCAGUAUGAGGGAUGAAGGGAAAACACUAGAGAAUGUCCCCACAAUUUCUAGCUUGACCACUGCAUGAUGUGAAUGAAACUAAGAAGUACAGGAGAAAGAGCAGGUUUGUGCAGGGAGAAUUCAGCGAGUUUAGAUUUGAACUUGGUCCAUCUAGGGUGCCUGGAACGGCCCUGUGGAGCUGUCCAGUGGCAUACGGAGAGGCCAGGGCCAUGGGGCAGUGCUCCUGGUGAGAGGAGGGGAGGGAGGCAAGAAGACAGCUCUGUGCAUGGGAGCCCAGCAGUAGCAGACAGGGGAUGUGGCAGUCAUUCAUGCAACCAGCAUUCUGUGCACAGCCACCACGUGCCCGGCAGUGUGUCUCUCUGCUGGUGAGAAACCUGCAGUCUAUGUUUCAUGGGUAGGGGGCGGGGUAGCGCAGAGGAUGAGGUGAGGGGCAGGAACAGCCUCCCCGGGAAGGUGACAAGUGGCAGGCCAGGCAGCAUGGCCUGGGGCGUCAGCGUCUCUUACAGGUACUCCUGGGUGCUACAGGGUCGGGCCUGUGGACACAGGCCUCCUAGACCGCUGGCAGGACUUGGGGCGCUGCUCUGCAUCUGGAGCAGGCAAGCUUUCUCCGGCAGUGGAGGUAGAGAGGCCAGGGAGGAGGAGGACUGACCAGGAGCUGGCUUUUGGGAGGUCGGUGGUCCCAGGGCAGAGCAAGCAUUCCAUAUAAUGCUUGAACUGUUGGGAGGGUCCCGGAAAGUUCUCUGAAAGUCUGCUGUGUUCCCGGCAAGUCCUGCCGGACACCCAGUUCUCGGCUUCCCCAUCUUCUCCUUCCAGAGCACCCGUUGCUGUAGGAAUGGAGGCAACUGCUGUUCACAUGAAUGCCUGCCAUCCUCACUGCCGCUCCCCGUUCCCUGGAUUUACUGCUCAAGCGGUGGGUGGUGUGGAAGGAUCACGUUUGAUGCAACAGGAAAUCGAGAGCAGAGAGCUGAAGUCACAGGUGGUGCUGAGCCCACGCCCUGGUAUUUGGAGGCCUACUAGCCUUCUGUCCAUUAAUAGGCCAGGUGCCUCGAGCACUCCAUAUUUGUGGUGCACUCACUAGGUGAGAGGGCCUGGACUCGUGCUCCUUCAGGGCUUGCCGUCAUCCCCCAGUGGUCCCCGAGUCAGCUUCUGAGAGUCGGCCCCCCCCCAGCAGGUGCAAGCUGUUUGAGAUUGGUCUACACGAUGCUGCCAGGCUCCAGCGGGGAGCAGGGACCUCACUGAGGCUCUUGGGAGCAGGAAGAUGGAGUCCCGGCACAGGGGAGGUGCCCAGUGACUGUCUGUGGAUGGCUACAAGGGAGAAGCAUGCGAGAGCCACCUCGUAUGUUCAGUGCCGUCUUACCAGGUGGCUGUGGGGAUGUAACCUCCAUGGAGCUCAGAGGAAGGAGACAGGCCAGGGUCUGUUUCUGGCUGGAGGGGGGUGGGGGGAUGUUCCACUUUGAGGGAGUGAGCAUCUGGACAGAAUACGGCGGGACUGUCCUGUCCUUGACUGGCAGCCAGGAAGCAGAUCGGUUUGAGCUGCAGUACUUUGACCCAUGCUGCCCACAGAGAAUGGAAUGAAGGGGACAAGAUUGGGGACUGUGGUACCAGUGAGGGAGGCUGUCAUUCUAAUCCAGAGGAGGAUGGUGAGUGUCUGAGCUAGGACAGGGACAGAGCAGGAGUAGAUUGAAGACCUAGUUAGGAGAUAAAAUGUGUAGAUUGAGCUGGGCAGUUGAGGGAGAAGAAGGGAGAAGUGUAUGACUUGUUUCCAACUUCAGCAGAUCUGGGGGAAGAUGAUGAGUGCACUGGAAGUGCCUGGGGUGUCCGACGGGAGGGGGCUGGUGGCCAGUUGAGAUAGGAGUCUGGCUCUCAGGAGAAGCCUGGGAUGAGACAGCAACACAGCAGCUAGUUAAAGCUGCAAGAAGAAAUGAGAUCUCCCAAGGAGAUGCAUUGUCUGGGAAGACCAGAAGAGCUAAGGACAAAACCUUGGGAUCAAGGAGAGGGGAACCAUGAAGAGGGGGGCUGAGGAAGAGGGAAGUUAGGAAGGAAGAGUAAAGGGACAGAUGGAGAACCAGGAGUUUCCAGAAAGACUGGUCAGUGUGUCUAGUACCAUAGUCAAGUCAGGUAAGAACUGAACUGUUUCCUUCCGAUGUAGCAACAAGGAGCUGAGCAGAUGUAGACCACGGGUGGGAGGCUCAGCGAGCGCGCCGGCUCGGUGAUUGCUCAUCAGCAGGGCAGUUCCCGGUUUCGAUGUCUGUGAGAUGGGGACAGGUUGGAGAGGCUCAGCAGUAUGUGUAACACCCAGCAGGUGCCCAGAGGAGGGGGCUGGAAGGAAAGUCAGCUCUGCCUUGUCAUUGAUUGGCAUGGGGUCAGGGGGAGAGAGGAGUCAAAGACAGCCCCUCUUGGGAGCCUGGAAGAGCAGUGGCCCCGCUCACAGGAAGUGGGGGCAGCGGGGAGAAAGACAAACUGUCAUUUGAAAUAGACUCCAAACUAGUGUUCCCUAUACCAUGCUUGAAAAGAGAGAUACAUUCUUCCCUGGGACAUUUUAAAAUGUGUACUGUUAAAAAAAAAUUUUUUUUCCCUUUGGGGCAAGGAUGGGUGACAAUCAAAAUUUUUUCACCAUUUUACUUGAUUAUAUAGAAGUGUAAUAGGAAAAAUUUUCCUGAGUUGAUUUCUUCUAGUUUUUACUUUACAUCACAGGACUCUGUAAUUAUGUAAUCUGGAACCUGUAAAGCACUUGUUUAUGACUGUACCAGUUGGGACAUUCUGAGAAAGUCACCCCCCCCCCCCC
Molecule: long non-coding RNA, 6262 nt
Organism: Mirounga angustirostris (Northern elephant seal)
Lineage: Eukaryota; Metazoa; Chordata; Mammalia; Carnivora; Phocidae
Exons: 2
Source: RefSeq, a predicted model, not a curated record